GUCUAGACUCAGUUCAGGAAAGUCACGUAUGUGGGAUCCGUCCUCACUACACAAGUCCUGAUGACGGUAUCAUCUCCAUUGAAGGCUGUGGACGCGGAGAUGGUUCGAGAAGUGUGCACCAAGUACAUUUAUGGCAAAAGCCCGGCCAUUGCUGCUCUCGGUAAGCUCAGCUCUUCUCCUUACCCAUACAGAGUGGCUAAGGACGUGGGGGUCUGUCCUAACUGUUUUUACUGUUCUUUUGAAUCCACAGGUCCUAUUGAGCGCUUACCAGAUUUUAACCAGAUUUGUAGUAACAUGCGCUGGACUCGUGACUGAUUUUUGUGAUGAAUUAUCCUACACAUACAUAUUUAUAAAACUGAGACCUAGAAGUUUUGAAAGACUGCUCAUCUUCAAGUGAAAAAAUAAAAACUUUAUUUG
RNAcentral lists this long non-coding RNA (417 nucleotides) under Rattus norvegicus (Norway rat). Its description in RNAcentral is "long non-coding RNA NONRATT021129". The record is from RNAcentral. Lineage: Eukaryota; Metazoa; Chordata; Mammalia; Rodentia; Muridae.